This 460-nucleotide ribosomal RNA is filed under the name uncultured bacterium. RNAcentral describes it as "partial 16S ribosomal RNA". It matches the Rfam family "Bacterial small subunit ribosomal RNA", at positions 338 to 795 of the family's 1533-position model. The record is from RNAcentral.
CCUACGGGUGGCAGCAGUGAGGAAUAUUGGUCAAUGGACGAGAGCCUGAACCAGCCAAGUAGCGUGAAGGAUGACUGCCCUACGGGUUGUAAACUUCUUUUAUAAAGGAAUAAAGUGAGGCACGUGUGCCUUUUUGCAUGUACUUUAUGAAUAAGGAUCGGCUAACUCCGUGCCAGCAGCCGCGGUAAUACGGAGGAUCCAAGCGUUAUCCGGAUUUAUUGGGUUUAAAGGGUGCGUAGGUGGUCGGUUAAGUUAGAUGUGAAAUUCCGAGGCUCAACUUCAGAAUUGCAUCUGAUACUGUCAGGCUAGAGAAUAGUUGAGGUAGGCGGAAUGCAUGGUGUAGCGGUGAAAUGCUUAGAGAUCAUAAAGAACACCGAUUGCGAAGGCAGCUUACCAAGCUACUUCUGACAUUGAGGCACGAAAGCGUGGGGAGCAAACAGGAUUAGAUACCCGUGUAGUC